Trametes versicolor FP-101664 SS1 is the source of this 76-nucleotide non-coding RNA. The record is from the annotation of a RefSeq genome assembly. Lineage: Eukaryota; Fungi; Basidiomycota; Agaricomycetes; Polyporales; Polyporaceae.
GCAUUAAUGGGGUAGUGGUAUGUAACCUGGGGUCGUUGCCAUCGACCCGCCGGGGGUUCGAUUCCCCCUUAAUGCA